RNAcentral lists this ribosomal RNA (273 nucleotides) under uncultured bacterium. RNAcentral's name for it is "partial 16S ribosomal RNA". It matches the Rfam family "Bacterial small subunit ribosomal RNA", at positions 85 to 354 of the family's 1533-position model. The record is from RNAcentral.
CCGCCGGCGACCGGCGCACGGGUGAGUAACACGUAUGCAACCUGGCCGUGACAGAUGGAUAACCGGGNGAAAUCCCGCCUAAUACAACAUAAUGCCGGGAGGGGACAUCCCCUGCCGGUCAAAGGGGGCGACCCCGGUCACGGAUGGGCAUGCGGCGCAUUAGGUAGUUGGUGGGGCAACGGCCCACCAAGCCGACGAUGCGUAGGGGUUCUGAGAGGAAGGUCCCCCACAUUGGAACUGAGACACGGUCCAAACUCCUACGGAAGGCAGCAG